GGACGAGCGCACGGGCGUCAUCGUGGAGGAGAGCCUCAUCCACGACUGCACCUUCAUCACCAGCGAGCUCAUCCUCUCCAACAUCCACGUGUCGGCCACGGGCGAGUGGGAAUGCGCCGUGUCCACCUCCCAGGGCAACGUGAGCAAGAAGGUGGAGAUCGUGGUGCUGGAGACCUCGGCAUCCUACUGCCCCGCCGAGCGCGUCACCAACAACCGCGGCGACUUCAGGUGGCCCCGCACGCUGGCGGGCAUCACCGCCUACCAGUCGUGCCUGCAGCACCCGUUCG
Non-coding RNA from Tinamus guttatus (white-throated tinamou), 287 nucleotides. The record is from RefSeq and is a predicted model, not a curated record. NCBI's taxonomy places the organism in Eukaryota, Metazoa, Chordata, Aves, Tinamiformes, Tinamidae.